Molecule: unclassified non-coding RNA, 235 nt
Filed under: Melitaea cinxia (Glanville fritillary)
Lineage: Eukaryota; Metazoa; Arthropoda; Insecta; Lepidoptera; Nymphalidae
Description: misc RNA ENSMCXG00005013807.1
Source: RNAcentral
AGAAUGCGUUGAAGAAAUAAAGGUUCACUGCUCGUUCCCCGUAGGUGAUAGCGUGAUAAUUUGUAGCCUAUAUGUUGACCCGACUUUUUAAUAAUAUUCGUGCCAAAUAUGAAGUAAAUCCAUGCAGUACUUUUUGAGUUUAUCCCGGACAUACAUACAGACAAACAGACAAAAAUUCUAAAAACUAUAUUUUUGGCUUCGGUAUCGAUAGUAGAUCACAGUUUUCUUUAAAAAA